This 116-nucleotide ribosomal RNA is filed under the name Pteropus alecto (black flying fox). Lineage: Eukaryota; Metazoa; Chordata; Mammalia; Chiroptera; Pteropodidae. The record is from RNAcentral.
GUCUACGGCCAUGCCACCCUGAACAAGGCCGAUGUCUGAUCUCGGAAGCUAAGCAGGGUUGGGCCUGGUUAAUACUUGGAUGGGAGACCACCUAGGAAGACCAGGUGCUGUAGGCA